CCUACGGGUGGCUGCAGUGGGGAAUAUUGGACAAUGGGCGAAAGUCUGAUCCAGCCAUGCCGCGUGUGUGAAGAAGGCCUUCGGGUUGUAAAGCACUUUCAGUGGGGAAGAAAGCCUUGGGGCUAAUACCCUCGAGGAAGGACAUCACCCACAGAAGAAGCACCGGCUAACUCCGUGCCAGCAGCCGCGGUAAUACGGAGGGUGCGAGCGUUAAUCGGAAUUACUGGGCGUAAAGCGCGCGUAGGCGGUCUGAUAAGCCGGUUGCGAAAGCCCCGGGCUCAACCUGGGAACGGCAUCCGGAACUGUCAGGCUAGAGUGCAGGAGAGGAAGGUAGAAUUCCCGGUGUAGCGGUGAAAUGCGUAGAGAUCGGGAGGAAUACCAGUGGCGAAGGCGGCCUUCUGGACUGACACUGACGCUGAGGUGCGAAAGCGUGGGUAGCAAACAGGAUUAGAUACCCGAGUAGUC
Molecule: ribosomal RNA, 465 nt
Filed under: Vreelandella stevensii
Lineage: Bacteria; Pseudomonadati; Pseudomonadota; Gammaproteobacteria; Oceanospirillales; Halomonadaceae
Description: partial 16S ribosomal RNA
Rfam family: Bacterial small subunit ribosomal RNA
Source: RNAcentral